This is a non-coding RNA of Durio zibethinus, 1226 nucleotides long. Lineage: Eukaryota; Viridiplantae; Streptophyta; Magnoliopsida; Malvales; Malvaceae. The record is from RefSeq and is a predicted model, not a curated record.
AUGAUAAGCUUCCUUAGUUGUCUUUUCCUUUGUAGUUCUUAUUGCCCUGUAUCUGCACCAAAGGGAAAGUCAGUGCUAUCUCAAACUCACUUAAUUGAGUAAGCGAAGAAAGCUCCAAAAAUUGCAUUACUUAUUUGUACAUAUUUUGCAUUUCAUCAUUGGUAAUCGUGUCCAUUUGAUUUCGUGUGGCCAAAUAUUGAUCAGAAAUAUUUGUAAGAUAUUGAGUAGUGGAUUGAUAUAGGCAGCUUUUCUUUUUCUUUGCCUCUAUUUCUGCUAAAUACUUUUCCUCGCUAUAGUUGUUUUUCUUUAUGCAUAUAGGUUUCUUGAACCUAGUUUGUUUCCCUUUUAGUUUAUUAGUUCAUUUCUUUUCUGAGUUUAAUUUUCUAUGUAAAAUGGUUAAGUCCUGAUUUGGAUUCAAUCUGUUUGGUGCGAUGAAGCAUCUUUUUUAUGUAAACGUGCCGCAGAUUUUCAUUUGGGUAACAAAGCUACAGCACGAUUGUGCUGAUCGGGCACCAGUGACAGCCCGAUUGUCCACUGGUGAGAAAGGGGUGUGGUCAUGAUCAUUAAUUUCCACGAGUGAAAAGUCUAUUAUAUCAUAAUUUUUCCUUUCCCAUUUCCCUUAUUCCCCAAUCCCAAUCCCAAUCCCUAACUCUCUCUUUCUCCCUCUCUUCUCUCCGUCCCCUCUCUCUCCCCCUCUCCUCCUUGCCAUGUCGUUCCCUGUUGUGACCGCUUGGCCUUUCCCUUCUACCCUUAGCCCGAGCCUGUGAUGCCUUAGAAUUGGAGAGUGUUGGCCACCCUGUGACUGUCGCCCACUCUCAUUUGUCCCCUUGACCACCGGCCCUCCAGCUUAUUUGCAAAUCAUCUUCUGUACUAAAGUAAGAUAUUGGUGUUUUGAGCACUAAGGCUAAAAAAUUUGCUUAAACAAUAUCAAAUGCUCAAACUGGGUCAAUGUUUAGGGGGUAAAAAUGAAGCAUCAGUGUCUUGAUCAUUGAAUGAUUGCAAAGAAAAGAAUCGUGAUCGCUGCCCUACCAUGUUGUGCUAUGACCCCUUAAGCCCGUGACGCCGCGAGCCCUUCAACCCGUGACAGCUGCCCAUAAUUGCCCAUGACUACUGGCCUUUUAGCUUGUUUGGAACUCGUCUUCUCUUUCCAAGUUUCAAACGACAACACCGAAGAGUUGUUUCAUGCUCCCUCCUGCCCCUGGCAAGAGCAUCAUAGCAACGGGUAA